RNAcentral lists this transfer RNA (72 nucleotides) under Talaromyces marneffei ATCC 18224. RNAcentral's name for it is "tRNA-Arg (TCT) (tRNA-Arg-TCT-2-1)". It matches the Rfam family "tRNA". From Rfam's summary of the family: Transfer RNA (tRNA) molecules are approximately 80 nucleotides in length. Their secondary structure includes four short double-helical elements and three loops (D, anti-codon, and T loops). Further hydrogen bonds mediate the characteristic L-shaped molecular structure. tRNAs have two regions of fundamental functional importance: the anti-codon, which is responsible for specific mRNA codon recognition, and the 3' end, to which the tRNAs corresponding amino acid is attached (by aminoacyl-tRNA synthetases). tRNAs cope with the degeneracy of the genetic code in two manners: having more than one tRNA (with a specific anti-codon) for a particular amino acid; and 'wobble' base-pairing, i.e. permitting non-standard base-pairing at the 3rd anti-codon position. The record is from RNAcentral. Lineage: Eukaryota; Fungi; Ascomycota; Eurotiomycetes; Eurotiales; Trichocomaceae.
GUCCGGCUGGCGCAAUGGUAGCGCAACAGGUUUCUACCCUGUAGGUUGCGGGUUCGAUCCCCGUGUCGGAUU